CAGCAGCCGCGGGAAUACGAAGGGUGCAAGCGUUGAUCGGAAUUACUGGGCGUAAAGCGUGCGUAGGCGGUUUGUUAAGUCUGUUGUGAAAUCCCCGGGCUCAACCUGGGAAUGGCAAUGGAUACUGGCAAGCUAGAGUGUGUCAGAGGAUGGUGGAAUUCCCGGUGUAGCGGUGAAAUGCGUAGAGAUCGGGAGGAACAUCGGUGGCGAAGGCGGCCAUCUGGGACAACACUGACGCUGAGGCACGAAAGCGUGGGGAGCAAACAGGAUUAGAUACCCGCGUAGUCCCUGUCUCUUAUAC
RNAcentral lists this ribosomal RNA (301 nucleotides) under uncultured bacterium. Its description in RNAcentral is "partial 16S ribosomal RNA". It matches the Rfam family "Bacterial small subunit ribosomal RNA", at positions 509 to 807 of the family's 1533-position model. The record is from RNAcentral.